UCGAACGCGAGAGGGGCUUCGGCUCCGAUUGAGUGGCGAACGGGUGAGUAACACGUGGGUGACCUACCUUCGAGUGGGGGAUAACGUCCCGAAAGGGACGCUAAUACCGCAUAACAUCCCGCCUUUGAACAGGCGGAGAUCAAAGCCGGGGAUCGCAAGACCUGGCGCUUGAUGAGGGGCCCGCGUCUGAUUAGCUAGUUGGUGAGGUAACGGCCCACCAAGGCGACGAUCAGUAUCCGGCCUGAGAGGGCGGACGGACACACUGGGACUGAGACACGGCCCAGACUCCUACGGGAGGCAGCAGUGGGGAAUUGUUCACAAUGGGCGCAAGCCUGAUGACGCAACGCCGCGUGGAGGAUGAAGGUCUUCGGAUUGUAAACUCCUGUUGCUCGGGACGAAAAGCCUCGACCUAAUACGUCGAGGUCUGACGGUACCGAGUGAGGAAGCCCCGGCUAACUCUGUGCCAGCAGCCGCGGUAAUACAGAGGGGGCAAGCGUUGUUCGGAAUUACUGGGCGUAAAGGGCGCGUAGGCGGCCUGCUAAGUCGAACGUGAAAUCCCCGAGCUCAACUCGGGAACUGCGUCCGAUACUGACAGGCUUGAAUCCGGGAGAGGGAUGCGGAAUUCCAGGUGUAGCGGUGAAAUGCGUAGAUAUCUGGAGGAACACCGGUGGCGAAGGCGGCAUCCUGGACCGGCAUUGACGCUGAGGCGCGAAAGCUAGGGGAGCAAACGGGAUUAGAUACCCCGGUAGUCCUAGCCCUAAA
This 762-nucleotide ribosomal RNA is filed under the name uncultured bacterium. RNAcentral describes it as "bacterial SSU rRNA". It matches the Rfam family "Bacterial small subunit ribosomal RNA", at positions 62 to 806 of the family's 1533-position model. The record is from RNAcentral.